Molecule: ribosomal RNA, 461 nt
Filed under: Neisseria sp. oral taxon 499
Lineage: Bacteria; Pseudomonadati; Pseudomonadota; Betaproteobacteria; Neisseriales; Neisseriaceae
Description: bacterial SSU rRNA
Rfam family: Bacterial small subunit ribosomal RNA
Source: RNAcentral
AUUGAACGCUGGCGGCAUGCUUUACACAUGCAAGUCGAACGGCAGCGGAGAGUGCUUGCACUCUGCCGGCGAGUGGCGAACGGGUGAGUAAUAUAUUGGAACGUACCGAGUAAUGGGGGAUAACUAUCCGAAAGGAUAGCUAAUACCGCAUACGCUUUGAGAAGGAAAGUGGGGGAUCUUCGGACCUCACGUUAUUCGAGCGGCCAAUAUCUGAUUAGCUAGUUGGUGGGGUAAAGGCCUACCAAGGCGACGAUCAGUAGCGGGUCUGAGAGGAUGAUCCGCCACACUGGGACUGAGACACGGCCCAGACUCCUACGGGAGGCAGCAGUGGGGAAUUUUGGACAAUGGGCGCAAGCCUGAUCCAGCCAUGCCGCGUGUCUGAAGAAAGGGCUUCGGGUUGUAAAGGACUUUUGUUAGGGAAGAAAAGAAAUGGGUUAAUACCCCAUUUUGCUGACGUACCA